This is a long non-coding RNA of Quercus robur (English oak), 500 nucleotides long. RefSeq lists it as uncharacterized. The transcript has 2 exons. Lineage: Eukaryota; Viridiplantae; Streptophyta; Magnoliopsida; Fagales; Fagaceae. The record is from RefSeq and is a predicted model, not a curated record.
GUUAAUUGGUGCAUCUUCCAGCCAAAAAAUGGAUGCUAAGACAGUUUCCAUGUGGAAUAUCAUAAUCCCGAUGCUUCUCUUGUUGUUUCUCUUAUCUAAAACGGUCGUUGCCGCACCAAACAACGUCUUCUCAGUCCCACCAGCCAAGAAGAAGAGAAGCCUGCGAAAUAAUUUUGUUCAAAUCAAAAUUAUGAUUCGGCGAAGUAUUCGUCCCCCGCCAAAUCCGGGACCCGGUCCCGGUCCCCCCCGGCUAUCCCCCCACUGCCGGUGAUUGAUUCCCAUUUAAAGUCACUGCCAAUGAUUAUAAAGCGUAAUUCCCUGGAGUUUGCCACCAACAUAGUGGUAACCUUCCCUUUGAAAUACGUUAGCAGGUUGAUUCCGAUAGAGUAUCAAUAUCAUAUGUAGGUAUCCCUUUUCAUUGUAAAAUGUAAACCAGCAUUAUGUCAGUUACAAUUUGCAAACUCUACUAAUAUCUUCAAAUGUGUGUCUGUUACUUUCAA